UGAUCUGGGCUCAGGACGAACGCUGGCGGCGUGCUUAACACAUGCAAGUCGAACGGAAAGGCCUGCAGCUUGCUGCGGGUACUCGAGUGGCGAACGGGUGAGUAACACGUGGGUGAUCUGCCUUGCACUUCGGGAUAAGCUUGGGAAACUGGGUCUAAUACCGGAUAGGACAGCUGUUUAGUGUCAGUUGUGGUAAGUUUUUUCGGUGCAAGAUGAGCUCGCGGCCUAUCAGCUUGUUGGUGGGGUAAUGGCCUACCAAGGCGUCGACGGGUAGCCGGCCUGAGAGGGUGUACGGCCACAUUGGGACUGAGAUACGGCCCAGACUCCUACGGGAGGCAGCAGUGGGGAAUAUUGCACAAUGGGCGGAAGCCUGAUGCAGCGACGCCGCGUGGGGGAUGAAGGCCUUCGGGUUGUAAACUCCUUUCGACAGGGACGAAGCGUAAGUGACGGUACCUGUAUAAGAAGCACCGGCUGACUACGUGCCAGCAGCCGCGGUAAUACGUAGGGUGCGAGCGUUGUCCGGAAUUACUGGGCGUAAAGAGCUCGUAGGUGGUUUGUCGCGUCGUCUGUGAAAUUCCGGGGCUUAACUCUGGGCGUGCAGGCGAUACGGGCUGACUUGAGUGCUGUAGGGGAGACUGGAAUUCCUGGUGUAGCGGUGAAAUGCGCAGAUAUCAGGAGGAACACCGAUGGCGAAGGCAGGUCUCUGGGCAGUAACUGACGCUGAGGAGCGAAAGCAUGGGUAGCGAACAGGAUUAGAUACCCUGGUAGUCCAUGCCGUAAACGGUGGGCGCUAGGUGUAGGGGGCUUCCACGUCUUCUGUGCCGUAGCUAACGCAUUAAGCGCCCCGCCUGGGGAGUACGGCCGCAAGGCUA
RNAcentral lists this ribosomal RNA (872 nucleotides) under uncultured Actinomycetes bacterium. Its description in RNAcentral is "bacterial SSU rRNA". It matches the Rfam family "Bacterial small subunit ribosomal RNA", at positions 14 to 896 of the family's 1533-position model. Lineage: Bacteria; Bacillati; Actinomycetota; Actinomycetes. The record is from RNAcentral.